GAUGAACGCUGGCGGCGUGCCUAAUACAUGCAAGUCGAGCGAACAGAUGAGGAGCUUGCUCCUCUGACGUUAGCGGCGGACGGGUGAGUAACACGUGGAUAACCUACCUAUAAGACUGGGAUAACUUCGGGAAACCGGAGCUAAUACCGGAUAAUAUAUUGAACCGCAUGGUUCAAUAGUGAAAGACGGUUUUGCUGUCACUUAUAGAUGGAUCCGCGCCGCAUUAGCUAGUUGGUAAGGUAACGGAUUACCAAGGCACCGAUGCAUAGCCGACCUGAGAGGUUGAUCCGCCACACUGGGACGGCGACACGGCCCCGACUCCGACGGGAGGCAGCAGUGGGGAAUAUUGGAAAAUGGGCGAAGGCCUGAUCCAGCAUGGCCGCGUGAGUGAUGAAGGCCUUAGGGUUGUAAAGCGCUUUUACCCGGGAUGCUAAUGACAGUACCGGGAGAAUAAGCUCCGGCUAACUCCGU
This 471-nucleotide ribosomal RNA is filed under the name uncultured bacterium. RNAcentral describes it as "partial 16S ribosomal RNA". It matches the Rfam family "Bacterial small subunit ribosomal RNA", at positions 28 to 506 of the family's 1533-position model. The record is from RNAcentral.